UACGGAGGGUGCAAGCGUUAUCCGGAUUCACUGGGCGUAAAGGGUGCGUAGGUGGUCGGGUAAGUCGGAUGUGAAAGCUCGGAGCUCAACUCCGAAAUGGCAUUGGAAACUACCUGGCUCGAGGGAUGGAGGGGGGACUGGAAUUCUCGGUGUAGCAGUGAAAUGCGUUGAUAUCGUUCGGAACACCAAUAGCGUAGGCAGGCUUCUGGGUGCCACCUGACACU
RNAcentral lists this ribosomal RNA (224 nucleotides) under uncultured prokaryote. RNAcentral describes it as "partial 16S ribosomal RNA". It matches the Rfam family "Bacterial small subunit ribosomal RNA", at positions 524 to 747 of the family's 1533-position model. The record is from RNAcentral.